UGGGGAAUAUUGCACAAUGGGGGAAACCCUGAUGCAGCGACGCCGCGUGGAGGAAGAAGGUCUUCGGAUUGUAAACUCCUGUUGUUGGGGAAGAUAAUGACGGUACCCAACAAGGAAGUGACGGCUAACUACGUGCCAGCAGCCGCGGUAAAACGUAGGUCACAAGCGUUGUCCGGAAUUACUGGGUGUAAAGGGAGCGCAGGCGGGAAGUCAAGUUGGAAGUGAAAUCUAUGGGCUCAACCCAUAAACUGCUUUCAAAACUGUUUUUCUUGAGUAGUGCAGAGGUAGGCGGAAUUCCCGGUGUAGCGGUGGAAUGCGUAGAUAUCGGGAGGAACACCAGUGGCGAAGGCGGCCUACUGGGCACCAACUGACGCUGAGGCUCGAAAGUGUGGGUAGCAAACAGG
This 404-nucleotide ribosomal RNA is filed under the name bacterium. Its description in RNAcentral is "partial 16S ribosomal RNA". It matches the Rfam family "Bacterial small subunit ribosomal RNA", at positions 355 to 776 of the family's 1533-position model. The record is from RNAcentral.